Molecule: long non-coding RNA, 289 nt
Filed under: Mytilus galloprovincialis (Mediterranean mussel)
Lineage: Eukaryota; Metazoa; Mollusca; Bivalvia; Mytilida; Mytilidae
Source: RNAcentral
AUACAUGUUGUAUUUAUAGUUGAUUUGUAUAAGCUAGUCAAAGGAGCAAGACAUUUUUUUAUAUUACUUUUACUAAUAUUUCUUCAUUUCGAAAUAUAUUUUUUUCUAUCACCUCUUUAACUCAUAUGCUAGUCAUAACAUUGUGUAAUAUGUGUAAUAUUUAGUGAAUGUUUAUGUCACAUUUUUGCAUGUAUCUAUAUGUGAACCUAAAUGGGCGUUCUUUGUAAAACUUCUAUACACAGUAGUUUGUAAAUAGUUAUGUGCACAAAAACACUUUUUGAUAGCAAUA